GGACCUCCCUGAUUGGAGCUUUGCAGACGGGCGCCCCUCCCCCCCCUGGCGGGGGCAGCUCCGGAGACGCCGCGAGAACCAAGAGCUGGUGCGCCGGGCCCUGGCCCUGAGCCGCUCCCUGGAGGCCGCGAAGCUUCGGGGGAACCUGGAGAGGAUCCCAGUCCAAACCAGUA
This is a non-coding RNA of Sturnus vulgaris (Common starling), 173 nucleotides long. Lineage: Eukaryota; Metazoa; Chordata; Aves; Passeriformes; Sturnidae. The record is from RefSeq and is a predicted model, not a curated record.